UAAAUGCGAUAAGUAGUGUGAAUUGCAGAAUUCAGUGAAUCAUCGAAUCUUUGAACGCACAUUGCGCCCUUUGGUAUUCCAAAGGGCAUGCCUGUUCGAGCGUCAUUUGUACCCUCAAGCUUUGCUUGGUGUUGGGCGUCUUGUCUCUAGCUUUGCUGGAGACUCGCCUUAAAGUAAUUGGCAGCCGGCCUACUGGUUUCGGAGCGCAGCACAAGUCGCACUCUCUAUCAGCAAAGGUCUAGCAUCCAUUAAGCCUUUUUUCAACUUUUGACCUCGGAUCAGGUAGGGAUACCCGCUGAACUUAAGC
Molecule: unclassified non-coding RNA, 307 nt
Filed under: plant metagenome
Description: partial contains 5.8S ribosomal RNA, internal transcribed spacer 2, and large subunit ribosomal RNA
Rfam family: 5.8S ribosomal RNA (bases 1-105)
Source: RNAcentral